AUUGAACGCUGGCGGCAUGCCUUACACAUGCAAGUCGAACGGCAGCACGGGAGCAAUCCUGGUGGCGAGUGGCGAACGGGUGAGUAAAGUAUCGGAACGUGCCCAGUCGUGGGGGAUAACGUAGCGAAAGUUACGCUAAUACCGCAUACGAUCUAUGGAUGAAAGCGGGGGAUCGCAAGACCUCGCGCGAUUGGAGCGGCCGAUAUCAGAUUAGGUAGUUGGUGGGGUAAAGGCUCACUAAGCCGACGAUCUGUAGCUGGUCUGAGAGGACGACCAGCCACACUGGGACUGAGACACGGCGCAGACUCCUACGGGAGGCAGCAGUGGGGAAUUUUGGACAAUGGGCGCAAGCCUGAUCCAGCCAUGCCGCGUGCAGGAUGAAGGCCUUCGGGUAGUAAACUGCUUUUGUACGGAACGAAAAGGUUUGGCUUAAUACGUUGGACUCAUGACGGUACCGUAAGAAUAAGCACCGGCUAACUACGUGCCAGCCGCCGCAGUAA
This 500-nucleotide ribosomal RNA is filed under the name uncultured bacterium. RNAcentral describes it as "partial 16S ribosomal RNA". It matches the Rfam family "Bacterial small subunit ribosomal RNA", at positions 30 to 523 of the family's 1533-position model. The record is from RNAcentral.